CGCACAUUGCGCCCCCUGGUAUUCCGGCGGGCAUGCUUAUUCGAGCGUCAUUUCUAUCCUCAAGCUCUGCUUGGUAUUGGGCGGCAAGCCUCUCCUCCCCAGGGAGGGGGGGCUCCCCCGAAGAUUAGCGGCGGACCGAUCGGUGUCCCAGCGCAGUGACUUUUUUUUUCUCGCUGGUUAGAUCACCGGGCGGCUCCUGCCGGGCAAACCACCAAAUCAUUUUCUUAGCGAUUGACCUCGGAUUAAGUAGGGAUACCCGCUGAACUUAA
Molecule: unclassified non-coding RNA, 269 nt
Filed under: fungal sp.
Lineage: Eukaryota; Fungi
Description: partial contains 5.8S ribosomal RNA, internal transcribed spacer 2, and large subunit ribosomal RNA
Source: RNAcentral